Molecule: long non-coding RNA, 1978 nt
Organism: Hyla sarda
Lineage: Eukaryota; Metazoa; Chordata; Amphibia; Anura; Hylidae
Exons: 9
Source: RefSeq, a predicted model, not a curated record
UUGGAGCUAUCUGUACCAGCCACUAGUACAGUUCAGGCCUUAGCUAUCAGAGGGAGCGCACACAAAGAGCAGGAGAUGAGGAAGAGGACAAGAUGACACAGGAGAGGUGACUGAUGCCCGGUGAGAAAGUAAACGUGACAUAUACCCUCGUCAGCUGCAAGAAAGGAACCAGGAGACAGGUGACUGAUGCCUGGUGAAAAAGUGACCGUGACAUAUACACUCGUCAGCUGCAAGAAAGGAACCACGAGACAGGUGACUGAUGCCCCGUGAGAAGGUGAACGUGACAUAUACACUCGUCAGCUGCAAGAAUGGAACCACGAGACAGGUGACUGAUGCCGGUGAGAAGGUGACCCUUGUCAGCUGCAAGAAAGGAACCACGAGACAGAAAAAAUAAAAUGACAAACUGUACCACUGGGAACUAACGAUGGAAACUGUCACUCAAUUCAGCAGGCUUGCUACAUGUCAUGAUCGGAGGAGUUGAUGGGAAACUUGUUGAUGUUAAUCCAAGGGUUUGGAAAUUCCAAGUAAUAUUGUGUUUUAUGCCCCUAUGGAAAAAGAAAUACAGAUUACAGCUGAGCGCUAGGGUUCCCAGCAGAGGGACACUUUGUGGACUACUUACUGUCAAAAACCCUGUCUAACAAGUAUGGAUUGCCCAGAGCAGACACCACAUGAAAAGCCAAUAAGAGUCAUCAAUUUAAUCCGGACUCCAUGCUUAUUAUAAUACACCACAUUAGAUUACGGUCCUCUGCUGCUUCAACAGAUCAAGAGAGGAACAGAAGCUGAUAGCUCCACAGUACAGAGAACGCUCCAGUUUUGGCUUCCUCUCAAUGAGACAAGAAAAUCCUGAAACGUAAUAAUGGGAAGCGCUGAAGACCUCUCGGCUGGAACCUGGAGAAACUGAUUUACUAGACUGUCCCAACUUUCAGCCUGUUGCUCGUGAGGUUCCUGAUUCUGCAGAUAUGUUGAAAUAUUGUGUAAAAAUUGAAAGAGACAAUUUUUUUUUACUUUGUAUUUUGGAGAAUUAAUGAACAAUGGAGCUUGUUCUGGUGUAGUCCACAGUGACUCAAACCUAAGUGCCAUUUUAUCCAGUAAAGUUUGUAUAUCCACAGAAUUUAAUUUUGUCUUCCGGUUAGACACAACGGAAAGAGGAGGCCUUGAUUUCAAUUACCAGAUAGAAAGGAUCUUUUCCAAAUUGCUCUGUUCUUAUACUUGGCUCUCUGCAUUAGUCAAGAAGACAAAUAUACUUAAUAUCAUCCACAUCAUAAAUAUUAUUUACUAAAAACAUAUACACAUACUGUACAUAUGCAUAAGCAACAGUUUGUCAAGAGAUUGUGAAUAUGCUAGGCGUUCACAGGCUUCUUUCACACUGCCAUUAGGACAUAGCAGUGUGACGGCCGUUGGGGUAGUCGGGGAGAAUAGUGGGAGGAACAAUACUGCUUGCGCUGUCUUUUUCUCCCGCUACCAUAUAACGGCGCCUGACGGCCCGGACCCUAUUAUAGUAAAUGGGAUCCACCAGGACCCAUUAUUGCUCAUUGUGCCUCGUCCCGAUAACAGCAAUUAAAGGCUGAAAAAAGAAGGAAAAAAAAGAGCCUAACGGCCGUUUAAGGACAGGACACAAUGGCUAUGUGAAAGUAGCCUAAGAGUGUAGCCACACAUGUCGCAUAAGCUAACAGUUAACAGUACAAGGAAUGUGGAUGAGACAUAAAGAAACCUCAUUCACACCCUGCGAAAAGAAUCCACACAAGUUUUGCAUGGAUAAUGACUUGCAAGGUGGAUGGAAAGGUAAUAAAAAAAACACAACAAAAUGUUGCAGAUUUUGAUGCAGAAACACAUGGGCCCAUAUUUACUAUUCCUACCGCUACAGCUUAGUGACAGCUUUUGUGACACAAUUGUGUACCAAAAGCUCAGUGUACCAAAAUUCAUGUAAAUUAUGAAAUGUUUUUAAAAGAAACCUUAACAACCCCACAAAUUGCAUUUU